This is a long non-coding RNA of Pongo pygmaeus (Bornean orangutan), 3580 nucleotides long. RefSeq lists it as uncharacterized. The transcript has 3 exons. The record is from RefSeq and is a predicted model, not a curated record. NCBI's taxonomy places the organism in Eukaryota, Metazoa, Chordata, Mammalia, Primates, Hominidae.
ACCCAGCUCACAGGCAGCCCAAAAGGUCAGUCUCACUCCCACUAUGUCUCCCCUCAACAGCACUGAGUUUGUUUCCAGGCAGCUGGUGAGCAGAGCUGACACCUUUCCUCAGGCUAUAAGCCUCCCCACUGAGAAAGCAAGGAGGGCUUUCAGGUUUCAUGCCUCCCCACCUGCCACGGUUUCCUCCCCAAGGACCCCUGCAAGAAAAAGUCAGGAAUGGAUUCCUGGAACCAAGAAUGUCCACAGGGCUCUUGAUGCUGCUUCCUCUACCCCUAUAUUUUAUAUAGAGAAUCCUGGAAAUUUAAAAAAAAAAACAACAACUGGCAAAAAUGAAUAAAUUGGAUUGGAGAUUAAGAAAUGAUUAGUACUAUGGAGAAAAAUAAAGCAGAGAAUGGAGAUGGGGGUGAAUGGGUCAAAACAGAGUUCUGGAAGUACUCACUGCAGAGACAAACGGAAAUGAGUCCACUCUAGGAAGAAGAAUAACUGGAAGCUUGAAAGUUUUUCUGAAUGAGCUGUGUAAAUGAAACUUGGAAAUGUGGCUUCAGGAGAAAGAACCAGGUUUGACACAGUGGGCUAAUCUUAAACAGGGACAAUAAUUGGAGCAGAAUGGCCACAAAUGAGCCGAAUAAAUCAGCCAUUGACAAAUAGGGAUACACGUAAGUAUUUAGUAAGUAAUAUGAUAAAUCCACACCAUCAUCGACUGGAUAGUUCCUCAAUUAGACUGCUACAUUUGAGAGCUAUAAUAUGCUAAAAGAAUAAAUCUCCUAAAUUAAGAAGGCACUAUUAAUUUAAACAAUUAUUACUAUUAUUUCUCCAAUGACAAGUAUUUCUCUUCAUAACAUUUUGCCAUUUGACACAGGCUUUCAACAUUAUUUAAAAUAAAAUGAUAAUAUAUAGUCACAUUACAGCUCUUGCAGAAGCUUCCUAUAAUAGCAUUUCCUAUAGGGAAUCUUUCAGUGACAGCUAGAGACCAUGUCUUGACUUUUGAACUGAACUGGUGGUUUUCUUUGACUCCUUUUGGCAUGGUUGGCAUACCUUGCCAAUUAGGAUCAGAGUUACAGGUAGAAAGGCCAUGUGACAAUAAUCAUUAUAUGUAGGUUAAAUUAAAAAUAUCCUCCCUGUAUAUUACAGACCUUGCCUUCUAAAUUUGUGUUAGAUUUUUCUCUUCCCAAUUUAAUUUAGAAUUGACAGACAAAUCAUAUUCUGUUGAGCUCUUCUAACCAAUUUUGUCUAUCUUUUUCCUCAUUUCUCCUUUCUUGAAAGUUUGUGCAUGCUUUGUCUUAUUGAAAACACUCAGAUCUAACAAGGAAGCAUACUUAUAGAUGUAUGUGAGUAGAAAAACAUUAUAGGACAUGCUGAAUCACUGACAAACCAGCUCCUGCUAUUUCCACAUCAUCAUAUUGUUUUCUUCUCUAUAUCUGACCCACUUUCAGCGAUAACAGAUUAAUUUACCAUAUUGACCUUGAAAUAUUAAAUGUAUUCAGCCACCUGAAGAUAAGCUUGUAUUAUAAGCAGAGAAUAAGUGAUGGUUAUUAAUAAUUACUGUAGAAGAAAAAGUGUAAAUUAGCAGACUCAGUGUUAGCAGUCAUAAAUCCAAAUUCCAACUCUUACUUUCUAGCUGUGAGACAAAGUCUAAGUCACUUAACAUCUAGCCUACUCUCCAUCUCAGUAAAAAUGUGUAUACACCAUCUUCUACUGCCUUGGCUUACAAGGUUAUCAUAAAGCUUCAAUAAAAAGGUAGUUGCAACACGGUAUUAUGAAAUACCAAUUUUUGUAGGACAAAAAUGGUCAAAUAUUGGGAAUUUCAUAGGGUUCAAUCUAAUAAACACUCAAUUAGUACCUUUAUUUUUAAAAAAGCUUUAUAGAGCUUUUUUGAAACAUAAAAUAACCUUUAAUGAGUAAGAUUCAAUAGUUAGAGCAAUUAGCAGCAUGUACAAAUAUAAAAUGAGGCCAGAUUUGGUCACUGACAGGAAAUGCAUAUUUGGGCUAAUGUCACACAUUUCUGAAGUCAAGUAUAUCAUCUACUGGAUGAUGCUGAAUAAGUCAGGGCAAAUUAAUAAAUGAUUAUAAUUAAAAUUAUAAGUAAAAUAUAGUUUUAUGAAUAAAUGUAGUGACAGGUAGUAAAAUAGUCACGAAUGUAAGUCAGCACUAAAUAACGCUAUUGGCUUUUUAAAUGGCAUUAGUAAUGGUGACAUUGCAAAUUUUCACUACAUUUUCUUUUAUGUUCAAAGGAUGCACAUCUCCCUUUUUAUGUCCUAGACAGAUUGUAAGACUAUCUUUUUCUUGCACAUCCAGAAAAGGUUUAUUCUGCCAGUGAUCUUUAGGUUUAAAAUAUGAAAACAUUAAGAUAGACAUAUUGAUAGUCACAGGAUCUUAACAGAUUUAAUCAGAUAAUAAUAAGCCAGGAACACUAUGAUUUCUAAUUUCAAUUUAAACUUGAAUUUGAUAAAAUACACUGUUUCUGUUACCUAUGGCUAUGUAACAAAUUACCCCAAAAUUUAAUGGUUUACAAGCACACUUUGUUAUUAUCUCUCAGGAUUCUAUAGGUUGAUUAGGUUAACUUGGGUGUUCUCUUUGGGGGUCUCUCAUGCAGUUUUAUCCCAUAGAGGCUGGGGCUGAAGUCAUCAGAAGCCUCAGUUGGGAUGGUCAUCCAAGAUAACUUCUUCACUCACACACCUACACUUCCACGUAGCCUCUCUCUCCAGCCUAGAAUUUUUACGUGACAGCUCAGAGCUCCGAGAUAGGAGGCAGAAACUGCUAGUCCUCUUAACAAGGAGGUCUGGAACUGGAGCAGCUUUACUUCUGCUGUAUUCUCUUGAUCAAAACAGGCAAAAGUCAUUCCUGGUUCAAGGGGGUGGAGAAGCAUAUUCCACCCUCAUGGGAGGGGAAGUUAUGGAUAGUAACCAUCUUUGGAAACAAGGUGCCACAAAAAUAUUAGCAAAUAAGAGCUGAAAACGUAUACAUCAGGGUCCAGAAAACAAAAACUGCCAUAUUGUCAUUUUACAUCUCUUAUUCAGUCCUAAGUCUGCUACUUAUUGGUUGAGAAAUUUUGAGCAAUUUAGUUAAUCUCUCUAGCCUUAGUUUUCUCAUCCAUAAAAUGGAGCUGAUUAUCACUAACAUAUAUGCUUGUGAGAAUUCAAAGCAUAAUGUCCUCAAAGUGAUUAAUAUGUUUAAGUCUCAAAUACAAUGGGACUUAUAUAAUUAGAUAGUUUCUUUUUUUUAUGUACAGGCCUGUUUUGACCUCUUUGCCUUCAUAUGUUUCUGAUUGCUUUUCACUCUUUCUUAUUGGCAUGAAUGGGACUUCAGUUGUAUUUUAGAUUUAAAUUACAUUAUAUCUAUAAAAAUAAUCCAUAAAAUGUACCUAUUUUAGAGAAACAGGAAAAAUGUUCCCAUGAUGCACUAUUCAUUCAUUCACUCACUCAUUUCAAAAUAUUAUGCUUAGAAGAGUUGUCAGAAUAUAUGCUAUGCCCAAGGAUAGUACAACUGACUAUGACAUCUUCUCAUAUAAUGUUCACAUACUAGUUAGGAAAAAUAGUACUAUGAACUGACUAGUUGCCUAAGGUGUUGCAAAUGCUGUACC